UACGUAGGGGGCAAGCGUUGUCCGGAUUUAUUGGGCGUAAAGAGCGUGUAGGCGGCCUGAAAGGUCAGCUGUGAAAACUCGGGGCUCAACCCCGAGACGUCGGUUGAAACCAUCUGGCUAGAGUCCGGAAGAGGAGUGUGGAAUUCCCGGUGUAGCGGUGAAAUGCGCAGAUAUCGGGAAGAACACCCGUGGCGAAGGCGGCCGGCUGGGGGCGCCCUGACGCUGAGGCGCGAGAGCGUGGGGAGCAAACCGG
RNAcentral lists this ribosomal RNA (253 nucleotides) under uncultured bacterium. Its description in RNAcentral is "partial 16S ribosomal RNA". It matches the Rfam family "Bacterial small subunit ribosomal RNA", at positions 524 to 776 of the family's 1533-position model. The record is from RNAcentral.